RNAcentral lists this unclassified non-coding RNA (335 nucleotides) under soil metagenome. RNAcentral describes it as "partial contains 5.8S ribosomal RNA, internal transcribed spacer 2, and large subunit ribosomal RNA". The stretch from base 1 to 120 matches the Rfam family "5.8S ribosomal RNA", at positions 35 to 154 of the family's 154-position model. The record is from RNAcentral.
GAUGAAGAACGUAGCGAAAUGCGAUAAGUAGUGUGAAUUGCAGAAUUCAGUGAAUCAUCGAAUCUUUGAACGCACAUUGCGCCCCUUGGUAUUCCAUGGGGCAUGCCUGUUCGAGCGUCAUUUGUACCUUCAAGCUCUGCUUGGUGUUGGGUGUUUGUCCUUGCUCUAGUGGCGGGACUCGCCUUAAAGUAAUUGGCAGCCAGUGUUUUGGUUUUGAAGCGCAGCACAAGUCGCGAUUCAAGUCUAUACGCUAGUCUCCACAAGUCUUUUAUCACUUUUGACCUCGGAUCAGGUAGGGAUACCCGCUGAACUUAAGCAUAUCAAUAAGCGGAGGA